UACGUAGGGCGCAAGCGUUCUCCGGAAUUAUUGGGCGUAAAGAGCUCGUAGGCGGUUUGUCGCGUCUGCUGUGAAAGACCGGGGCUCAACUCCGGUUCUGCAGUGGGUACGGGCAGACUAGAGUGCAGUAGGGGAGACUGGAAUUCCUGGUGUAGCGGUGAAAUGCGCAGAUAUCAGGAGGAACACCGAUGGCGAAGGCAGGUCUCUGGGCUGUAACUGACGCUGAGGAGCGAAAGCAUGGGGAGCGAACAGG
This 253-nucleotide ribosomal RNA is filed under the name uncultured bacterium. RNAcentral's name for it is "partial 16S ribosomal RNA". It matches the Rfam family "Bacterial small subunit ribosomal RNA", at positions 524 to 776 of the family's 1533-position model. The record is from RNAcentral.